UACGGAGGGUGCAAACGUUGCUCGGAAUUAUUGGGGGUAAAGCGUGUUUAGGCGGCUGAGUAAGUCGGGCGUGAAAGCCCUCGGCUUAACCGAGGAAGUGCGUUCGAUACUGCUCAGCUAGAGUACAGGAGAGGAUAGUGGAAUUCCCGGUGUAGAGGUGAAAUUCGUAGAUAUCGGGAGGAACACCAGUGGCGAAGGCGGCUAUCGGGACUGAUAAUGACCAUGAGACACGAAAGCGUGGGGAGCAAACAGG
This 253-nucleotide ribosomal RNA is filed under the name uncultured bacterium. RNAcentral's name for it is "partial 16S ribosomal RNA". It matches the Rfam family "Bacterial small subunit ribosomal RNA", at positions 524 to 776 of the family's 1533-position model. The record is from RNAcentral.